GACGAACGCUGGCGGCGUGCUUAACACAUGCAAGUCGAACGAAGAGCGAUGGAAGCUUGCUUCUAUCAAUCUUAGUGGCGAACGGGUGAGUAACGCGUAAUCAACCUGCCCUUCAGAGGGGGACAACAGUUGGAAACGACUGCUAAUACCGCAUACGAUCUAAUCUCGGCAUCGAGGAUAGAUGAAAGGUGGCCUCUACAUGUAAGCUAUCACUGAAGGAGGGGAUUGCGUCUGAUUAGCUAGUUGGAGGGGUAACGGCCCACCAAGGCGAUGAUCCGUAGCCGGUCUGAGAGGAUGCACGGCCGCAUUGGGACUGAGACACGGCCCAGACUCCUCCGGGAGGCAGCAGUGGGGAAUCUUCCGCAAUGGACGAAAGUCUGACGGAGCAACGCCGCGUGAGUGAUGACGGCCUUCGGGUUGUAAAGCUCUGUUAAUCGGGACGAAAGGCCUUCUUGCGAAUAGUGAGAAGGAUUGACGGUACCGGAAGAGAAAGCCACGGCUAACUACGUG
RNAcentral lists this ribosomal RNA (510 nucleotides) under uncultured bacterium. Its description in RNAcentral is "partial 16S ribosomal RNA". It matches the Rfam family "Bacterial small subunit ribosomal RNA", at positions 28 to 507 of the family's 1533-position model. The record is from RNAcentral.